UACAGAGGUCUCAAGCGUUGUUCGGAUUCAUUGGGCGUAAAGGGUGUGUAGGUGGCGCUGUAAGUCGGGUGUGAAAUUUCGGAGCUUAACUCCGAAACUGCAUUCGAUACUGCCGUGCUUGAGGACUGGAGAGGAGACUGGAAUUUACGGUGUAGCGGUGAAAUGCGUAGAUAUCGUAAGGAAGACCAGUGGCGAAGGCGGGUCUCUGGACAGUUCCUGACGCUGAGGCACGAAGGCCAGGGGAGCAAACGGG
RNAcentral lists this ribosomal RNA (253 nucleotides) under uncultured bacterium. RNAcentral describes it as "partial 16S ribosomal RNA". It matches the Rfam family "Bacterial small subunit ribosomal RNA", at positions 524 to 776 of the family's 1533-position model. The record is from RNAcentral.